GAUGAACGCUGGCGGCGUGCCUAACACAUGCAAGUCGAGCGAACCUUUCGGGGUGAGCGGCGGACGGGUGAGUAACGCGUGGGUAACCUGCCCUAUACACACGGAUAACGUACCGAAAGGUACGCUAAUACGGGAUAAAGUUGUUGGAUGGCAUCUUCUAACAAUCAAAGCUCCGGCGGUAUAGGAUGGACCCGCGUCUGAUUAGAUAGUUGGUGAGGUAUGGCUGACCAAGGCGACGAUCAGUAGCCGACCUGAGAGGGUGAUCGGCCACACUGGAACUGAGACACGGUCCAGACUCCUACGGGAGGCAGCAGUGGGGAAUAUUGCAAAAUGGGCGAAAGCCUGAUGCAGCAACGCAGCGUGGGCGAUGAAGGUCUGCGGAUCGUAAAGCUCUGUCCUCAAGGAAGAUAAUGACGGUACUUGAGGAGGAAGCCCCGGCUAACUACGUGCCAGCCGCCGCAGUAA
This 465-nucleotide ribosomal RNA is filed under the name uncultured bacterium. Its description in RNAcentral is "partial 16S ribosomal RNA". It matches the Rfam family "Bacterial small subunit ribosomal RNA", at positions 28 to 523 of the family's 1533-position model. The record is from RNAcentral.